This 81-nucleotide transfer RNA is filed under the name Candidatus Yonathbacteria bacterium RIFCSPHIGHO2_01_FULL_51_10. Its description in RNAcentral is "tRNA-Leu". It matches the Rfam family "tRNA". Rfam says of the family: Transfer RNA (tRNA) molecules are approximately 80 nucleotides in length. Their secondary structure includes four short double-helical elements and three loops (D, anti-codon, and T loops). Further hydrogen bonds mediate the characteristic L-shaped molecular structure. tRNAs have two regions of fundamental functional importance: the anti-codon, which is responsible for specific mRNA codon recognition, and the 3' end, to which the tRNAs corresponding amino acid is attached (by aminoacyl-tRNA synthetases). tRNAs cope with the degeneracy of the genetic code in two manners: having more than one tRNA (with a specific anti-codon) for a particular amino acid; and 'wobble' base-pairing, i.e. permitting non-standard base-pairing at the 3rd anti-codon position. The record is from RNAcentral. Lineage: Bacteria; Candidatus Yonathiibacteriota.
GCCGGAGUGGUGGAAUGGUAGACACGCACGACUCAAAAUCGUGUGAGGCAACUCAUGAGGGUUCAAGUCCCUCCUCCGGCA